Molecule: ribosomal RNA, 492 nt
Filed under: uncultured bacterium
Lineage: Bacteria
Description: partial 16S ribosomal RNA
Rfam family: Bacterial small subunit ribosomal RNA
Source: RNAcentral
AGUGAACGCUGGCGGUAGGCCUAACACAUGCAAGUCGAACGGCAGCACAGUAAGAGCUUGCUCUUACGGGUGGCGAGUGGCGGACGGGGGAGGAAUACAUCGGAAUCUACUUUUUCGUGGGGGAUAACGUAGGGAAACUUACGCUAAUACCGCAUACGACCUACGGGUGAAAGCAGGGGAUCUUCGGACCUUGCGCGAUUGAAUGAGCCGAUGUCGGAUUAGCUAGUUGGCGGGGUAAAGGCCCACCAAGGCGACGAUCCGUAGCUUGUCUGAGAGGAUGAUCAGCCACACUGGAACUGAGACACGGUCCAGACUCCUACGGGAGGCAGCAGUGGGGAAUAUUGGACAAUGGGCGCAAGCCUGAUCCAGCCAUACCGCGUGGGUGAAGAAGGCCUUCGGGUUGUAAAGCCCUUUUGUUGGGAAAGAAAAGCAGCAGGUUAAUACCCCGCUGUUCUGACGGUACCCAAAGAAUAAGCACCGGCUAACUUCGUG